This 207-nucleotide ribosomal RNA is filed under the name uncultured bacterium. Its description in RNAcentral is "partial 16S ribosomal RNA". It matches the Rfam family "Bacterial small subunit ribosomal RNA", at positions 568 to 774 of the family's 1533-position model. The record is from RNAcentral.
AGCGUAGGCGGACAUUUAAGUCAGGGGUGAAAUCCCGGGGCUCAACCUCGGAAUUGCCUUUGAUACUGGGUGUCUUGAGUAUGAGAGAGGUGUGUGGAACUCCGAGUGUAGAGGUGAAAUUCGUAGAUAUUCGGAAGAACACCAGUGGCGAAGGCGACACACUGGCUCAUUACUGACGCUGUGGCUCGAAAGCGUGGGGAGCAAACA